This 253-nucleotide ribosomal RNA is filed under the name uncultured bacterium. RNAcentral describes it as "partial 16S ribosomal RNA". It matches the Rfam family "Bacterial small subunit ribosomal RNA", at positions 524 to 776 of the family's 1533-position model. The record is from RNAcentral.
UACGUAGGGACCGAGCGUUGUCCGGAAUCACUGGGCGUAAAGGGCGCGUAGGUGGCGCGACAAGUCAGUGGUGAAAGUUCGACGCUCAACGUCGAAUCGGCCACUGAUACUGUUGGGCUUGAGCACUGUAGAGGCUAAUGGAAUUCCGGGUGUAGCGGUGGAAUGCGUAGAGAUCCGGAAGAACACCCGUGGCGAAGGCGGCUCUCUGGGACGGUACUGACGCUGAGACGCGAAAGCGUGGGGAGCGAACAGG